RNAcentral lists this ribosomal RNA (463 nucleotides) under uncultured bacterium. Its description in RNAcentral is "bacterial SSU rRNA". It matches the Rfam family "Bacterial small subunit ribosomal RNA", at positions 331 to 792 of the family's 1533-position model. The record is from RNAcentral.
CCAGACUCCUACGGGAGGCAGCAGUGAGGAAUAUUGGUCAAUGGCCGAGAGGCUGAACCAGCCAAGUCGCGUGAGGGAUGACGGCCCUACGGGUUGUAAACCUCUUUUGUCGGGGAGCAAAGAGAGUCACGUGUGGCUCAUUGAGAGUACCCGAAGAAAAAGCAUCGGCUAACUCCGUGCCAGCAGCCGCGGUAAUACGGAGGAUGCGAGCGUUAUCCGGAUUUAUUGGGUUUAAAGGGUGCGCAGGCGGAGGUGCAAGUCAGUGGUCAAAUUGCGGGGCUCAACCCCGUACUGCCGUUGAAACUGCAUCCCUUGAGUGCGCGAGAAGUAUGCGGAAUGCGUGGUGUAGCGGUGAAAUGCGUAGAUAUUAGGAGGAACACCAGUGGCGAAGGCGGCUUACUGGACUGUAACUGACGUUGAGGCUCGAAAGCGUGGGGAGCAAACAGGAUUAGAUACCCGGGUA